Molecule: transfer RNA, 66 nt
Filed under: Zootermopsis nevadensis
Lineage: Eukaryota; Metazoa; Arthropoda; Insecta; Blattodea; Termopsidae
Description: tRNA-Met
Source: RNAcentral
AGAAAAGUAAGCUAAUAAAGCUAAUGGGUUCAUACCCCAUAAAUAGAGUAAAUACUCUCUCUUCUA